RNAcentral lists this long non-coding RNA (236 nucleotides) under Sorghum bicolor (sorghum). Its description in RNAcentral is "long non-coding RNA (SBIC_LNC003449)". The record is from RNAcentral. Lineage: Eukaryota; Viridiplantae; Streptophyta; Magnoliopsida; Poales; Poaceae.
CCCGCCGAGCAAGGUAUGUGUAGGUUUUCUGAUCUUUCUUUUGAUUUUUUGUUUUUCUCUUUCUUCUAACUGGCGUUAUCUCUUCAUCAGCCGGAAGCACAAGGUGGCCUCGGUGGAGCUGUCUCCCCUAAAGGCCGUGAAGAGGAGGGCGCAGUCGACCGCAGCGUCGGCGAGGCCCAAGUCGCCGCCCCCUUUGAACCGUGGGGAGGGCAAGCUCCACCAGGAAGGAGAGGGGC